UGGGGAAUAUUGCACAAUGGGCGGAAGCCUGAUGCAGCGACGCCGCGUGGGGGGAUGACGGCCUUCGGGUUGUAAACCUCUUUCAGUGCAGAACAAGGCUCUUUGUGGGUUGAGGGUAUGCGCAGAAGAAGCGCCGGCUAACUACGUGCCAGCAGCCGCGGUAAUACGUAGGGUCCGAGCGUUGUCCGGAAUUACUGGGCGUAAAGAGCUCGUAGGUGGUUUGUCGCGUUGUUCGUGAAAACUCACAGCUUAACUGUGGGCGUGCGGGCGAUACGGGCAGACUGGAGUACUGCAGGGGAGACUGGAAUUCCUGGUGUAGCGGUGGAAUGCGCAGAUAUCAGGAGGAACACCGGUGGCGAAGGCGGGUCUCUGGGCAGUAACUGACGCUGAGGAGCGAAAGCGUGGGGAGCGAACAGG
RNAcentral lists this ribosomal RNA (417 nucleotides) under uncultured prokaryote. RNAcentral's name for it is "bacterial SSU rRNA". It matches the Rfam family "Bacterial small subunit ribosomal RNA", at positions 355 to 776 of the family's 1533-position model. The record is from RNAcentral.